UACGUAGGUGGCGAGCGUUGUCCGGAUUUAUUGGGUUUAAAGGGUGCGUAGGCGGCCCUAUAAGUCAGCGGUGAAAUAUCGCAGCUUAACUGUGAGGGUGCCAUUGAUACUGUAGGGCUUGAGUGAAUUUGAGGUAGGCGGAAUUGACGGUGUAGCGGUGAAAUGCUUAGAUAUCGUCAAGAACACCGAUAGUGAAGACAGCUUACCAAGCUUCAACUGACGCUGAGGCACGAAAGUGUGGGGAUCAAACAGG
This 253-nucleotide ribosomal RNA is filed under the name uncultured bacterium. RNAcentral describes it as "partial 16S ribosomal RNA". It matches the Rfam family "Bacterial small subunit ribosomal RNA", at positions 524 to 776 of the family's 1533-position model. The record is from RNAcentral.